GGCCUACGGGAGGCAGCAGUGGGGAAUAUUGCACAAUGGGGGAAACCCUGAUGCAGCAACGCCGCGUGAAGGAAGACGGUUUUCGGAUUGUAAACUUCUGUUCUUAGUGAAGUAAAAUGACGGUAGCUAAGGAGCAAGCCACGGCUAACUACGAGCAAGCAGCCGCGGUAAUACGUAGGUGGCAAGCGUUGUCCGGAAUUACUGGGUGUAAAGGGAGCGCAGGCGGGAAGCGAAGGUAGCUGUGGAAACUACGGGCU
Molecule: ribosomal RNA, 257 nt
Filed under: uncultured bacterium
Lineage: Bacteria
Description: partial 16S ribosomal RNA
Rfam family: Bacterial small subunit ribosomal RNA
Source: RNAcentral